This 319-nucleotide long non-coding RNA is filed under the name Cucumis sativus (cucumber). Its description in RNAcentral is "long non-coding RNA (CSAT_LNC002738)". The record is from RNAcentral. Lineage: Eukaryota; Viridiplantae; Streptophyta; Magnoliopsida; Cucurbitales; Cucurbitaceae.
CCGCACUGAAUGGAUCAUCAAACAAGUAAAUAUCAACAUCUUGGUACAAGGCACGAGCAAUUUGAAUUCUUUGCUUCUGUCCACCACUUAAAUUGAUUCCUCUUUCUCCUAUUACCGUCUGGUCACCAAAUGAAAGAAUUUCAAGGUCCUUUUCUAGACAACAUGCUUCAAGAACUCUUUUGUACCUUUCUCUGUCCAUCUCUUUGGAAAAGAGUAUGUUGUCCUCGAUCUUUCCACUCUGUAUCCAUGGUGAUUGAGCUACAUAGGCCUUACUACCACACACUCUCAGGUUCCCUGAUGUUUUAGGUACUUCUCCCAG